This is a long non-coding RNA of Cebus imitator (Panamanian white-faced capuchin), 531 nucleotides long. RefSeq lists it as uncharacterized. Lineage: Eukaryota; Metazoa; Chordata; Mammalia; Primates; Cebidae. The transcript is spliced from 3 exons. The record is from RefSeq and is a predicted model, not a curated record.
ACACACACUGGGGCCUUUUGUAGAGGGGAGGGGAGGGACAGCAUGAGGAUAAACAGCUAAUGCACGCCGGGCUUAAUGCCUAGGUGAUGGGUUGAUAGGUGCAGGAAACCACCAUGGCACACAUUUACCUAUGUAACAAACCUGCACGUCCUUCACAUGUAUCCCAGAACUCAAAAUAAUAAAAAUAAAAAAAAAAUAAAAAGCAUGUUGUCAUAAAAAGAAAUUUUGGAAGGAUGUACAUCAGCGUUUCGAGUUUCAUUGGGUAAUGGAGUAACUGGGUUUUCUUAAAAAAAUCUUGCCUCUAUAUUCCAGUAUUCUAGAAAGAGUUUUUUUUUUUUAAAUUUUGUGAUCAGAAAAAUAACCACAAUAACUGCUACAUAUAUGUUUUAAAGGCUAUGAAUGUAAGGAGAUGGGGGGAUAUGUAGAGAAUGACACAGGCUUAUAAGAUUUUCUUUUCAGUAACAUGGGAAGAACCUGAAGCUGAUGGUAAGGGUACAUGGAGAGAGGGUGGCUCUCCAGGAGCAGAAAGGG